CUCAGGAUGAACGCUAGCGGCAGGCUUAACACAUGCAAGUCGAGGGGUAGAGGAAGCUUGCUUCCUUGAGACCGGCGCACGGGUGCGUAACGCGUAUACAAUCUACCUUUACAGAGGGAUAGCCCAGAGAAAUUUGGAUUAAUACCUCAUAGUAUUUUCGGAUCGCAUGAUUUGAUUAUUAAAGUUCCAACGGUAAAAGAUGAGUAUGCGUCCCAUUAGCUAGAUGGUAAGGUAACGGCUUACCAUGGCAAUGAUGGGUAGGGGUCCUGAGAGGGAGAUCCCCCACACUGGUACUGAGACACGGACCAGACUCCUACGGGAGGCAGCAGUGAGGAAUAUUGGACAAUGGGCGCAAGCCUGAUCCAGCAAUGCCGCGUGCAGGAUGAAGGCCUUCGGGUUGUAAACUGCUUUUGUACGGAACGAAACGGUGAGCUCUAAUACAGUUUGCUAAUGACGGUACCGUAAGAAUAAGCACCGGCUAACUACGUG
RNAcentral lists this ribosomal RNA (489 nucleotides) under uncultured bacterium. RNAcentral describes it as "bacterial SSU rRNA". It matches the Rfam family "Bacterial small subunit ribosomal RNA", at positions 23 to 507 of the family's 1533-position model. The record is from RNAcentral.